RNAcentral lists this ribosomal RNA (467 nucleotides) under uncultured bacterium. RNAcentral describes it as "partial 16S ribosomal RNA". It matches the Rfam family "Bacterial small subunit ribosomal RNA", at positions 28 to 507 of the family's 1533-position model. The record is from RNAcentral.
GACGAACGCUGGUGGCGUGCUUAACACAUGCCAGUCGAACGGAAAGGCCUCUUUCGGGGGGUACUCGAGUGGCGAACGGGUGAGUAACACGUGAGUAACCUGCCCUUGACUUUGGGAUAACUUCAGGAAACUGGGGCUAAUACCGGAUAGGAGCUCCUGCUGCAUGGUGGGGGUUGGAAAGUUUCGGCGGUUGGGGAUGGACUCGCGGCUUAUCAGCUUGUUGGUGGGGUAGUGGCUUACCAAGGCUUUGGCGGGUAGCCGGCCUGAGAGGGUGACCGGCCACAUUGGGACUGAGAUACGGCCCAGACUCCUACGGGAGGCAGCAGUGGGGAAUAUUGCACAAUGGGUGGAAGCCUGAUGCAGCAACGCCGUGUGCGGGAUGACGGCCUUCGGGUUGUAAACCGCUUUCGCUCAUGACGAAGCUUUGUGUGACGGUAGUGGGUAAAGAAGCACCGGCUAACUACGUG